This is a long non-coding RNA of Homo sapiens (human), 561 nucleotides long. NCBI's taxonomy places the organism in Eukaryota, Metazoa, Chordata, Mammalia, Primates, Hominidae. The record is from Ensembl.
GUAUCUCACUCCCGCCACAGCUUGGGAUCGGUCUCUGCUGUUUUACGUCCUCCACCUCGGGAGCCCCCGGUGACUGUCACAGCCUCUUGCCCUGUGAUCUGCAGGUUCUGGGAGACGCACAGCUAAGAUGCCAGGACAUCCUGGAAGCUGGGAAAAGAUGGAGUUUCACUCUUGUUGCCCAGGCUGGAGUGCAUUAUCCCAAUCUCGGCUUACUACAACCUCCGCCUCCCAGGUUCUGACAACAAAGGAGAUUGUGACAUAUUGCUGGGCCUAACACUAAGGUGAUGUUAGUUAUUUGCUUUGGCUGUGCCCUUGGAAGGCAUUGAGACAUACUGCUGUGCCCAGCACCAAGAUGAUGUAACGUGACUCUUCUGCUUCAGGCCUGCCAAAAGAAAAGAUUGUGACAGAUCACUGGACCCAGCACCUAGGUGAUAUGACUCUCCUCAUUUGCCUGAGACCUGCAUAUUUUAGACAUUGUGAUAUACAACUGGAACAAACACCUAGGGGUUGGAAGGCUCCUGCCUGAGUCCCUCCCACAGGAGGCCUUGUGAUGUUUUUUUG